RNAcentral lists this ribosomal RNA (465 nucleotides) under uncultured bacterium. Its description in RNAcentral is "partial 16S ribosomal RNA". It matches the Rfam family "Bacterial small subunit ribosomal RNA", at positions 28 to 505 of the family's 1533-position model. The record is from RNAcentral.
GACGAACGCUGGCGGCGUGCUUAACACAUGCAAGUCGAACGGAAAGGCCUCUUUCGGGGGGUACUCGAGUGGCGAACGGGUGAGUAACACGUGAGUAACCUGCCCUUGACUUUGGGAUAACUUCAGGAAACUGGGGCUAAUACCGGAUAGGAGCUCCUGCUGCAUGGUGGGGGUUGGAAAGUUUCGGCGGUUGGGGAUGGACUCGCGGCUUAUCAGCUUGUUGGUGGGGUAGUGGCUUACCAAGGCUUUGACGGGUAGCCGGCCUGAGAGGGUGACCGGCCACAUUGGGACGGAGAUACGGCCCAGACUCCUACGGGAGGCAGCAGUGGGGAAUAUUGCACAAUGGGUGGAAGCCUGAUGCAGCAACGCCGUGUGCGGGAUGACGGCCUUCGGGUUGUAAACCGCUUUCGCUCAUGACGAAGCUUUGUGUGACGGUAGUGGGUAAAGAAGCACCGGCUAACUACG